UGAGGAAGUAUUGCACAAUAGGAGGGAAACUACUGAUGCAGCAACGCCGCGUGGAGGAUGACGCAUUUCGGUGUGUAAACUCCUUUUAUGAGUCAAGAAAAUGACGGUAGCUCAUGAAUAAGCACCGGCUAACUCCGUGCCAGCAGCCGCGGUAAUACGGAGGGUGCAAGCGUUAUUCGGAAUCACUGGGCGUAAAGGACGCGUAGGCGGGAAGCCAAGUCUGAUGUGAAAUCCUAUGGCUUAACCAUAGAACUGCAUUGGAAACUGGUUACCUAGAGUAUGGGAGGGGGAGAUGGAAUUAGUGGUGUAGGGGUAAAAUCCGUAGAUAUCACUAGGAAUACCGAAAGCGAAGGCGAUCUCCUGGAACAAUACUGACGCUAAGGCGUGAAAGCGUGGGGAGCAAACG
RNAcentral lists this ribosomal RNA (406 nucleotides) under uncultured bacterium. RNAcentral describes it as "bacterial SSU rRNA". It matches the Rfam family "Bacterial small subunit ribosomal RNA", at positions 355 to 774 of the family's 1533-position model. The record is from RNAcentral.